CAUUGUGAACUCGAUGGGUAAUGCGACUGGAUAAUUGGCCGCCGUAUAGGGGUGAAGAAAAAGUCGUAACCGACGCGCUUUGACCUCAUCCAAGACGCUGUUUUUUACAAUACGUGGAAGAAAAUCGUUCCAGACGAUCCAUUGGUAAUGCCACGUCACCAACCUUCUCGCCCGCUCAAACAGGGUGGUUCCGGGCACGUUCUCGCCCAGCGUGGGCUGCUUUUCGA
RNAcentral lists this unclassified non-coding RNA (227 nucleotides) under uncultured fungus. Its description in RNAcentral is "sequence contains ITS1". The record is from RNAcentral. Lineage: Eukaryota; Fungi.